GUUUUGCUAAUUUCUUUAAUAUCAGAAGACAGCUGGAUUCUCAUUUCUGCUUCUGCAUUCAGUCUAUUGUGAUAUAGCAUAUCAUGUAACUUCUGAAAAACUUCACUGUACACAGAUGCUGACCUCACAGACUCCCUGAAAGGAUCUCCAUGACCUCUAUGGUUCCUUAGACUGCACUUUGAGAACUAUUGACGUACAGGGAAAAAUGCUCUUGGUGUUCCAGUUAAGCACAGAAUAAAAUCUGGACUGUGUCAGUUUGUAAAGAUCUUAUGUCUACUUGGUCAUCAGCCAAGAAGGGAUUCCGAAGAUAGAAGAGGAGGCAUCAACACCGUGAACAUCAUGGCUGAGUUAUUUUGUGAGAGGGAUAAGCCUAAAGUAAAAACCUUGGAUUUGCCUCUGUCCUUGAACAUGCUAUCUGGAAAGAGUUUUCUUAAAAGUAUUGUUGUGAACACAUCCAUUUUCCCAGUAUAGUUGAAUGCAGGGUUUAAUAAAUGGAAUGAAUCUA
This 505-nucleotide long non-coding RNA is filed under the name Homo sapiens (human). Its description in RNAcentral is "novel transcript". The record is from RNAcentral. Lineage: Eukaryota; Metazoa; Chordata; Mammalia; Primates; Hominidae.